Molecule: transfer RNA, 78 nt
Filed under: Geckolepis maculata
Lineage: Eukaryota; Metazoa; Chordata; Lepidosauria; Squamata; Gekkonidae
Description: tRNA-Cys
Source: RNAcentral
CCAAGGUCCUGAGGUGGAGACACGCCGAAGUGCAAAUUCGGAGACGCACCCCAAAGGGUGCCGGGGCUUCUCCCGUUU